AUUGAACGCUGGCGGCAUGCCUUACACAUGCAAGUCGAACGGUAACGGGCCUUCGGGUGCCGACGAGUGGCGAACGGGUGAGUAAUGCAUCGGAACGUACCUUUCAGUGGGGGAUAACGUAGCGAAAGUUACGCUAAUACCGCAUAUUCUGUGAGCAGGAAAGCAGGGGAUCGCAAGACCUUGCGCUGAUUGAGCGGCCGGUGUCAGAUUAGCUAGUUGGUGAGGUAAAGGCUCACCAAGGCGACGAUCUGUAGCGGGUCUGAGAGGAUGAUCCGCCACACUGGAACUGAGACACGGUCCAGACUCCUACGGGAGGCAGCAGUGGGGAAUUUUGGACAAUGGGGGCAACCCUGAUCCAGCCAUGCCGCGUGAGUGAAGAAGGCCUUCGGUUGUAAGACUCUUUCGGCCGGGACGGAAAUCGUAUGGGC
Molecule: ribosomal RNA, 428 nt
Filed under: uncultured bacterium
Lineage: Bacteria
Description: bacterial SSU rRNA
Rfam family: Bacterial small subunit ribosomal RNA
Source: RNAcentral